RNAcentral lists this ribosomal RNA (207 nucleotides) under uncultured Pseudomonas sp. RNAcentral describes it as "partial 16S ribosomal RNA". It matches the Rfam family "Bacterial small subunit ribosomal RNA", at positions 1178 to 1382 of the family's 1533-position model. The record is from RNAcentral. Lineage: Bacteria; Pseudomonadati; Pseudomonadota; Gammaproteobacteria; Pseudomonadales; Pseudomonadaceae.
AGUGACGUCAAGUCAUCAUGGCCCUUACGGCCAGGGCUACACACGUGCUACAAUGGUCGGUACAGAGGGUUGCCAAGCCGCGAGGUGGAGCUAAUCUACACAAACCGAUCGUAGUCCGGAUCGCAGUCUGCAACUCGACUGCGUGAAGUCGGAAUCGCUAGUAAUCGUGAAUCAGAAUGUCCACGGUCGAAUACGUUCCCGGGCCUU